GUGCCAGCAGCCGCGGUAAUACAGAGGGUGCAAGCGUUAAUCGGACUUACUGGGCGUAAAGGGCGCGUAGGCGGCAGAUUAAGUUAGUUGUGAAAUCCCUGGGCUUAACCUGGGAACUGCAAUUAAGACUGAUUAGCUAGAGUCGAAGAGAGGGGGGCGGAAUUUCCGGUGUAGCGGUGAAAUGCGUAGAUAUCGGAAGGAACACCAGUGGCGAAGGCGGCCCUCUGGCUUCAGACUGACGCUGAGGCGCGAAAGCGUGGGUAGCGAACAGGAUUAGAUACCCUGGUAGUCCACGCUGUAAACGAUGAGUACUAGUUGUUGGAAGGCUAAGGCCUUUCAGUAGCGGAGCAAACGCAUUAAGUACUCCGCCUGGGGAAUACGGCCGCAAGGCUAAAACUCAAAGAAAUUGACGGGGGCCCGCACAAGCGGUGGAGCAUGUGGUUUAAUUCGAUGCAACGCGAAGAACCUUACCUACCCUUGACAUCCUAAGAAUUCUGCAGAGAUGCGGAAGUGCCUUCGGGAACUUAGAGACAGGUGCUGCAUGGCUGUCGUCAGCUCGUGUCGUGAGAUGUUGGGUUAAGUCCCGUAACGAGCGCAACCCUUGUGCCUAGUUACCAGCAUUAAGUUGGGGACUCUAGGCAGACUGCCGGUGACAAACCGGAGGAAGGUGGGGAUGACGUCAAGUCCUCAUGGCCCUUAUGGGUAGGGCUACACACGUGCUACAAUGGGCAGAACAAAGGGAAGCGAAGCUGCGAAGCGGAGCGGAUCUCAAAAAACUGUUCGUAGUCCGGAUAGGAGUCUGCAACUCGGCUCCUGAAGUCGGAAUCG
This 828-nucleotide ribosomal RNA is filed under the name uncultured bacterium. Its description in RNAcentral is "bacterial SSU rRNA". It matches the Rfam family "Bacterial small subunit ribosomal RNA", at positions 505 to 1334 of the family's 1533-position model. The record is from RNAcentral.